This 118-nucleotide small nucleolar RNA is filed under the name Otolemur garnettii (small-eared galago). RNAcentral's name for it is "Small nucleolar RNA U13". It matches the Rfam family "Small nucleolar RNA U13". Lineage: Eukaryota; Metazoa; Chordata; Mammalia; Primates; Galagidae. The record is from Rfam by way of RNAcentral.
AUUCUUUGUUAGUUCAUAAGCGUGAUGAUUGAGUUUUCAUGCACAUGCGUGAGAUGUGUCUCUCACAAAUCUUGUUUCGAUGUCAGCACAUUUCGAUGUCAGCACAACCUGGCUGACA